CACUUUCAGUAGGGAGGAAGGUAGUGUAGUUAACACCUGCAUUAUUUGACGUUACCUACAGAAGAAGCACCGGCUAACUCCGUGCCAGCAGCCGCGGUAAUACGGAGGGUGCGAGCGUUAAUCGGAAUUACUGGGCGUAAAGCGCAUGCAGGUGGUUUGUUAAGUCAGAUGUGAAAGCCCCGGGGCUCAACCUCGGAAUUGCAUUUGAAACUGGCAGACUAGAGUACUGUAGAGGGGGUAGAAUUUCAGGUAGUAGCGGUGAAAUGCGUAGAGAUCUGAAGGAAUACCGGUGGCGAAGGCGGCCCCCCUGGACAGAUACUGACACUCAGAUGCGAAAGCGUGGGGAGCAAACAGGAUUAGAUACCCCUGGUAG
RNAcentral lists this ribosomal RNA (373 nucleotides) under uncultured bacterium. RNAcentral's name for it is "bacterial SSU rRNA". It matches the Rfam family "Bacterial small subunit ribosomal RNA", at positions 431 to 793 of the family's 1533-position model. The record is from RNAcentral.